Molecule: ribosomal RNA, 201 nt
Filed under: uncultured bacterium
Lineage: Bacteria
Description: partial 16S ribosomal RNA
Rfam family: Bacterial small subunit ribosomal RNA
Source: RNAcentral
ACGCUCGACACCUACGGUAGGCAGCAGUGGGGAAUAUUGGGCAAUGGAGGAAACUCUGACCCAGCAACGCCGCGUGAAUGAUGAAGGUCUUUGGAUUGUAAAGUUCUUUUCUAAGGGACGAAGAAAGUGACGGUACCUUAGGAAUAAGCCUCGGCUAACUACGUGCCAACAGCCGCGGUAAUCUGAGCGGGCUGGCAAGGC